GGGUUGUGAGGUUAAGCGACUAAGCGUACACGGUGGAUGCCCUGGCAGUCAGAGGCGAUGAAGGGCGUGCUAAUCUGCGAUAAGCGCCGGUAAGGUGAUAUGAACCGUUAUAACCGGCGAUACCCGAAUGGGGAAACCCAGUGUGAUUCGUCACACUAUCAUUAACUGAAUCCAUAGGUUAAUGAGGCGAACCGGGGGAACUGAAACAUCUAAGUACCCCGAGGAAAAGAAAUCAACCGAGAUUCCCCCAGUAGCGGCGAGCGAACGGGGAGGAGCCCAGAGCCUGAAUCAGCAUGUGUGUUAGUGGAAGCGUCUGGAAAGGCGCGCGAUACAGGGUGACAGCCCCGUACACAAAAGCGCAUGUGCUGUGAGCUCGAUGAGUAGGGCGGGACACGUGGUAUCCUGUCUGAAUAUGGGGGGACCAUCCUCCAAGGCUAAAUACUCCUGACUGACCGAUAGUGAACCAGUACCGUGAGGGAAAGGCGAAAAGAACCCCGGCGAGGGGAGUGAAAAAGAACCUGAAACCGUGUACGUACAAGCAGUGGGAGCACAGGUUUACCUGUGUGACUGCGUACCUUUUGUAUAAUGGGUCAGCGACUUAUAUUCUGUAGCAAGGUUAACCGAAUAGGGGAGCCGGAGGGAAACCGAGUCUUAAUUGGGCGUUAAGUUGCAGGGUAUAGACCCGAAACCCGGUGAUCUAGCCAUGGGCAGGUUGAAGGUUGGGUAACACUAACUGGAGGACCGAACCGACUAAUGUUGAAAAAUUAGCGGAUGACCUGUGGCUGGGGGUGAAAGGCCAAUCAAACCGGGAGAUAGCUGGUUCUCCCCGAAAGCUAUUUAGGUAGCGCCUCGUGAAUUCAUCUCCGGGGGUAGAGCACUGUUUCGGCUAGGGGGCCAUCCCGGCUUACCAACCCGAUGCAAACUGCGAAUACCGGAGAAUGUUAUCACGGGAGACACACGGCGGGUGCUAACGUCCGUCGUGAAGAGGGAAACAACCCAGACCGCCAGCUAAGGUCCCAAAGUCAUGGUUAAGUGGGAAACGAUGUGGGAAGGCCCAGACAGCCAGGAUGUUGGCUUAGAAGCAGCCAUCAUUUAAAGAAAGCGUAAUAGCUCACUGGUCGAGUCGGCCUGCGCGGAAGAUGUAACGGGGCUAAACCAUGCACCGAAGCUGCGGCAGCGACGCUUAUGCGUUGUUGGGUAGGGGAGCGUUCUGUAAGCCUGCGAAGGUGGCCUGUGAGGGUUGCUGGAGGUAUCAGAAGUGCGAAUGCUGACAUAAGUAACGAUAAAGCGGGUGAAAAGCCCGCUCGCCGGAAGACCAAGGGUUCCUGUCCAACGUUAAUCGGGGCAGGGUGAGUCGACCCCUAAGGCGAGGCCGAAAGGCGUAGUCGAUGGGAAACGGGUUAAUAUUCCCGUACUUGGUGUUACUGCGAAGGGGGGACGGAGAAGGCUAUGUUGGCCGGGCGACGGUUGUCCCGGUUUAAGCGUGUAGGUGUGUGUUCCAGGUAAAUCCGGUUCACUUUAACACUGAGGCGUGACGACGAGGCACUACGGUGCUGAAGCAACAAAUGCCCUGCUUCCAGGAAAAGCCUCUAAGCAUCAGGUAACAUCAAAUCGUACCCCAAACCGACACAGGUGGUCAGGUAGAGAAUACCAAGGCGCUUGAGAGAACUCGGGUGAAGGAACUAGGCAAAAUGGUGCCGUAACUUCGGGAGAAGGCACGCUGACACGUAGGUGAAGUGAUUUACUCAUGGAGCUGAAGUCAGUCGAAGAUACCAGCUGGCUGCAACUGUUUAUUAAAAACACAGCACUGUGCAAACACGAAAGUGGACGUAUACGGUGUGACGCCUGCCCGGUGCCGGAAGGUUAAUUGAUGGGGUCAGCGCAAGCGAAGCUCCUGAUCGAAGCCCCGGUAAACGGCGGCCGUAACUAUAACGGUCCUAAGGUAGCGAAAUUCCUUGUCGGGUAAGUUCCGACCUGCACGAAUGGCGUAAUGAUGGCCAGGCUGUCUCCACCCGAGACUCAGUGAAAUUGAACUCGCUGUGAAGAUGCAGUGUACCCGCGGCAAGACGGAAAGACCCCGUGAACCUUUACUAUAGCUUGACACUGAACAUUGAGCCUUGAUGUGUAGGAUAGGUGGGAGGCUUUGAAGUGUGGACGCCAGUCUGCAUGGAGCCGACCUUGAAAUACCACCCUUUAAUGUUUGAUGUUCUAACGUGGACCCGUUACCCGGGUUGCGGACAGUGUCUGGUGGGUAGUUUGACUGGGGCGGUCUCCUCCUAAAGAGUAACGGAGGAGCACGAAGGUUGGCUAAUCCUGGUCGGACAUCAGGAGGUUAGUGCAAUGGCAUAAGCCAGCUUGACUGCGAGCGUGACGGCGCGAGCAGGUGCGAAAGCAGGUCAUAGUGAUCCGGUGGUUCUGAAUGGAAGGGCCAUCGCUCAACGGAUAAAAGGUACUCCGGGGAUAACAGGCUGAUACCGCCCAAGAGUUCAUAUCGACGGCGGUGUUUGGCACCUCGAUGUCGGCUCAUCACAUCCUGGGGCUGAAGUAGGUCCCAAGGGUAUGGCUGUUCGCCAUUUAAAGUGGUACGCGAGCUGGGUUUAGAACGUCGUGAGACAGUUCGGUCCCUAUCUGCCGUGGGCGCUGGAGAACUGAGGGGGGCUGCUCCUAGUACGAGAGGACCGGAGUGGACGCAUCACUGGUGUUCGGGUUGUCAUGCCAAUGGCACUGCCCGGUAGCUAAAUGCGGAAGAGAUAAGUGCUGAAAGCAUCUAAGCACGAAACUUGCCCCGAGAUGAGUUCUCCCUGAGACUUAGAGUCUCCUGAAGGAACGUUGAAGACGACGACGUUGAUAGGCCGGGUGUGUAAGCGCAGCGAUGCGUUGAGCUAACCGGUACUAAUGAACCGUGAGGCUUAACCUUACAACGCCGAAG
This 2929-nucleotide ribosomal RNA is filed under the name Salmonella enterica subsp. enterica serovar Enteritidis. RNAcentral describes it as "23S ribosomal RNA". It matches the Rfam family "Bacterial large subunit ribosomal RNA". Lineage: Bacteria; Pseudomonadati; Pseudomonadota; Gammaproteobacteria; Enterobacterales; Enterobacteriaceae. The record is from RNAcentral.